GAUGAACGCUAGCGGCAGGCUUAACACAUGCAAGUCGAGGGGCAGCAUGAGGGUUAGCAAUAACCUUUGAUGGCGACCGGCGCAAGGGUGCGUAACGCGUGAGCAACUUGCCCGUUUCUGGGGGAUAACCGGUGGAAACGCCGACUAAUACCCCAUAGUAUUGAUUUCAGGCAUCUGUUAUCAAUUAAAGAAUUUCGGAAACGGAUAGGCUCGCGUGACAUUAGCUAGAUGGCGGGGUAACGGCCCACCAUGGCAACGAUGUCUAGGGGUUCUGAGAGGAAGGUCCCCCACACUGGAACUGAGACACGGUCCAGACUCCUACGGGAGGCAGCAGUGAGGAAUAUUGGUCAAUGGUCUGACGACUGAACCAGCCAUGCCGCGUGAAGGUGACGGCCCUAUGGGUCUUAAACUUCUUUUGUAAGGGAGCAAUAAGUUCUACGUGUAGGAUGAUGAGAGUACCUUACGAAUAAGCAUCGGCUAACUCCGUGCCAGCAGCCG
Molecule: ribosomal RNA, 498 nt
Filed under: uncultured bacterium
Lineage: Bacteria
Description: bacterial SSU rRNA
Rfam family: Bacterial small subunit ribosomal RNA
Source: RNAcentral